AGUUAGGGUUUAUCUAUAAGGGAUUUUCAUUUUUUAGGUGAUUCGAAAGAAGAGAAGUGUAUGCAAAGCUGUCGCGUACAUGUAGUUGAAUAAAAAAGAUGAUCAGUAGCAUAUGAUACACAGAUGAUUUGUAGGGUUUUCUGUGGGGUAUAGAAGAAAGAAAAACAAAUGAAUAAAUCAAAUUGAUUAUAUAUAUGUAUUGGAAAGGAUAUGUACGUAGGAG
RNAcentral lists this unclassified non-coding RNA (223 nucleotides) under Hevea brasiliensis (rubber tree). Lineage: Eukaryota; Viridiplantae; Streptophyta; Magnoliopsida; Malpighiales; Euphorbiaceae. The record is from RNAcentral.